Malania oleifera is the source of this 1324-nucleotide RNA transcript. RefSeq lists it as uncharacterized. NCBI's taxonomy places the organism in Eukaryota, Viridiplantae, Streptophyta, Magnoliopsida, Santalales, Ximeniaceae. The transcript is spliced from 7 exons. The record is from RefSeq and is a predicted model, not a curated record.
UUUGUGCAUACAAUGAAUGCAAUCAAUUUAUGGGUGUGAGGGAUGAUUGGCCUGCCAACAUUCAAAUGUUUAACAUCUGGUGGGAAGAGGAAAUGUUUCUUGGGACAAUCCACAAGUUGAAGCUGUUAGGAGGAAGCCAUUAUAGCGAAGCGGUUACAUUGUUGUUGCAUCCACCAUGCGCCGACGAAGUAGGAAUCAGCACUCGCCCGUUUCUGCAACAACAGAGCACGAAUUUGGCUACGAGUCGUCUCUUCGUUGAUUUGCUCUCUUCGCGACACUCGCCCAAGAUUGCUGCUCAGUGCGACCUUGAUUUUGUAGGAAGGACACUCACAAUUUUGCUAGAAGUGUCUCACAGCAAUCUUGAUACGAUUUCCCCCAAAUUAGGUUUUCAUAUAUUUUUGGAUUUUCAUUAUGAUUUCCCCAAAUGUACAGGUUUUCAUAGUUUGUUGGAUUUUCAUCACGAUUCCCCUCAAUGCUCGGUUUUGAGUGCACUCACACUGACCAGUUAUUGGCUGCUGUUGUUUCUUUUUAAAGCUUAAUCAGGCAUAACUCAACUUUUACUUGGUGAAGGUGGUUUGCUUAGCAAGAAGGAAAGUUCAGACCAACAGCAUGGGCAAGUCGAAUCCCUAGAGGAAUUGCUGCACUAGUACUCUGUCCUUCAUUGGUGUUCCAUUCUUAUUAAGAAAGUCCUGGGUAUUGGUAAUAAAGCAAUUUAAUUCAGAGGCAAAGUGGAGGUAUCUUCUCUUCCAGAAUUAUUAAAUAAGAGAUAUAGGCUGGAGUUUUAUGGAGGUGACGGAGACUCACAUCAUACAAAUCUUCAAUGUGGGACGAUCAUAUAUGCCUAGCUCAUUCAAAUCUUCAAUGAUGCUCAGAACUGCUCAGAUCUCUCGACGAAGAAGAGGAUUAGUGGAGGGCUUAAGACAGAUGAGUUGUACUAUUUCAAAUGUGGUCAAGUCUUCUCUGAACCAGGUGGGAAAGGCAAAGCUAGCAAGCGAUUGAAUAACAUCCCAUCACCAGCUUUGUUCCUCAUUUGGAAAGGUGAGUCUCUGCAAUAUUGUACUUGUGUAAUGUUAUUGCUAGAAGGCUAAGCCUUUAUUGAUUGCAGGAGGGAAAUGUCCUUGUUAUAUGGGAUAUCCAUCCUAUCAAAUUUUGGUUACAAAUUAAGGGUGAAAUAAAUUAAUCGCGAAAUACUGUUUCAACUUAUUAUUAUUUUAUUCUGCUUUGAUAGGUGAGUUUAACACUCGUUUGAAUUUUUGUUAGAAAUUAAGGAUGGAUACAAUAUUGAUUUUACAAAUCUAUUUUGAGUAUAUUAUUAGUUUAGAAA